CUGUUCGAGCGUCAUUACAACCCUCAAGCUCUAGCUUGGUAUUGGAUGUCACUAUCUGGUGACAUCUCAAAAGCAGUGGCGGUGCCAUUCAGCUUCAAGCGCAGUAAAUCUCUCGCUGUGGAGUCUGGGUGCAGUGCCUGCCAGAACCCCUAAAUUCAAAGGUUGACCUCGGAUCAGAUAGGGAUACCCGCUGAACUUAA
This 200-nucleotide unclassified non-coding RNA is filed under the name soil metagenome. Its description in RNAcentral is "partial contains internal transcribed spacer 2 and large subunit ribosomal RNA". The record is from RNAcentral.